CUUGACCGUACCCAGCCGCAGCGGCUCGGUACGGUUCUGCCCGUACGUGGCCAGCAGCGCCUGCGCCUC
RNAcentral lists this antisense RNA (69 nucleotides) under Couchioplanes caeruleus subsp. caeruleus. RNAcentral's name for it is "ASpks TB sRNA". It matches the Rfam family "ASpks TB sRNA". Lineage: Bacteria; Bacillati; Actinomycetota; Actinomycetes; Micromonosporales; Micromonosporaceae. The record is from Rfam by way of RNAcentral. RNAcentral also lists the same sequence under 1 other name.